Molecule: RNA transcript, 838 nt
Organism: Capsella rubella
Lineage: Eukaryota; Viridiplantae; Streptophyta; Magnoliopsida; Brassicales; Brassicaceae
Exons: 3
Source: RefSeq, a predicted model, not a curated record
ACAAAAAAAAAAACAAAAUGAGAAUCUCUCUGCAGAGCUUCUCGACUCUUCCAAAAUUUAUUCCACUCCCCUGUCCUCUCUGUCCUCUCUGCUCUCUCUCUAUCUAUAAAAAUGAUGAUCACAUCUUCUUCGUAUCAUCAUCAUCAUCAUCAUCAUCUCCUCACGAUCUCACCAUUACCAAACCCUACUCUCUUCUUCUCUGCAGGGAACCCUUAACUUGUUCUUGUCUGAUCUUGUCUCUGUGUCUGUUCAUCAACAAUGGCACAUAUCCUUUUCUUUGAUCUGUUCAUUUUUAUUACAUAGGGAGAUAAAAGUUUAGGUUUUUAUUUUUUAAUGUUCUGUGAUAUUAUUUUUUUGUUUGGCUUUAAUUGAAGCAAACGUGGUAACCAAAGAGAACGUGAUCGUGAAAGAGCUCAAGCUAGAGGUAAUCAUAAACCUAAGCAACCUAAGAACGAUGGAUUAACUCCUGAACAACGUCGUGAAAGAGACGCGAGAGCAUUGCAGGAGAAGGCGGCUAGAAAGGCAGGACAAUCAAUGGGAGGAGGGAACCAUGACCACGCCCUUCGCGUUGGUGGAAAAAUCAAGAAAUAAGACUGAUCAUGCAGUAGGGGUUUCUCUGAUAUUUGUAAUUAUAUGUUAUUUAUUGGUUGAUCAUCCGAGUUGAUUCGAUAUCGUGGGUGGGGGAGGUUUUCAAGAGUUGUGUUAAAGUCUUCGAGUGUGAUUCUAAUCUUGGCAUAUGAACUUUUUGUUAUACGUCUUAUAUUCAGUGAAAUGUGUUGAUGCUUCGUUCUUUUGCUUUUCGAGUUCUCGGUAAUAAAAUGCUUUGGAUUGUCCUCAA